RNAcentral lists this non-coding RNA (92 nucleotides) under uncultured Clostridium sp. RNAcentral describes it as "Purine riboswitch". It matches the Rfam family "Purine riboswitch aptamer". Rfam says of the family: Riboswitches are metabolite binding domains within certain messenger RNAs that serve as precision sensors for their corresponding targets. Lineage: Bacteria; Bacillati; Bacillota; Clostridia; Eubacteriales; Clostridiaceae. The record is from RNAcentral.
UAAAAAUAAAAAAAUUUCCCGUAUAUGCUUAGUGAUAAGGUCUAAGUGUUUCUACCGGACUACCGUAAAUUGUCUGACUAUGGGUGUUUGUA